GACGUAGGGGGCCAGCGUUGUUCGGAAUUACUGGGUGUAAAGGGUUCGUAGGCGGUGUGGCAAGUUGGGAGUGAAAUCUCUGGGCUCAACCCAGAGGCUGCUUCCAAAACUGCUGUGCUUGAGUGUGAGAGAGGCCCGUGGAAUUGCAGGUGUAGCGGUGAAAUGCGUAGAUAUCUGCAGGAACACCCGUGGCGAAAGCGGCGAGCUGGAUCACUACUGACGCUGAGGAACGAAAGCUAGGGGAGCAAACAGG
This 253-nucleotide ribosomal RNA is filed under the name uncultured bacterium. Its description in RNAcentral is "partial 16S ribosomal RNA". It matches the Rfam family "Bacterial small subunit ribosomal RNA", at positions 524 to 776 of the family's 1533-position model. The record is from RNAcentral.